AGUGAACGCUGGCGGCGUGCUUAACACAUGCAAGUCGAACGAGAACGGAAUAUAGCUUGCUUUAUUUGUCAGCUAAGUGGCGCACGGGUGAGUAAUGUAUAGAUAACCUGCCCUUAAGAAAGGAAUAACAGUUGGAAACGACUGCUAAUGCCCUAUAUGCCUUUAAUACAUAAGUAUGCAAGGGAAACGCUUUAGUGCUUAAGGAUGGGUCUGUAUAGUAUCAGCUUGUUGGUGAGGUAAUGGCUCACCAAGGCUAUGACGCCUAACUGGUUUGAGAGGAUGAUCAGUCACACUGGAAUUGAGACACGGUCCAGACUCCUACGGGAGGCAGCAGUGGGGAAUUUUGCGCAAUGGGGGAAACCCUGACGCAGCGACGCCGUGUGAAGGAUGAAGGUCUUCGGAUUGUAAACUUCUGUUCAGAGAGAAGAAGUUCUGACGGUAUCUCUGGAGCAAGCACCGGCUAACUCUGUGCCAGCAGCCGCCGUAA
RNAcentral lists this ribosomal RNA (487 nucleotides) under uncultured bacterium. RNAcentral's name for it is "partial 16S ribosomal RNA". It matches the Rfam family "Bacterial small subunit ribosomal RNA", at positions 29 to 523 of the family's 1533-position model. The record is from RNAcentral.